GCGAGUGUAGCACAGUUGGUAGUGCGCAACCUUGCCAAGGUUGAGGUCACGGGUUCGAACCCCGUCACUCGCU
RNAcentral lists this transfer RNA (73 nucleotides) under SAR86 cluster bacterium. It matches the Rfam family "tRNA". Rfam says of the family: Transfer RNA (tRNA) molecules are approximately 80 nucleotides in length. The record is from Rfam by way of RNAcentral. Lineage: Bacteria; Pseudomonadati; Pseudomonadota; Gammaproteobacteria.